RNAcentral lists this ribosomal RNA (257 nucleotides) under uncultured Actinomycetales bacterium. RNAcentral's name for it is "partial 16S ribosomal RNA". It matches the Rfam family "Bacterial small subunit ribosomal RNA", at positions 75 to 334 of the family's 1533-position model. The record is from RNAcentral. Lineage: Bacteria; Bacillati; Actinomycetota; Actinomycetes; Actinomycetales.
CCCCUUUGGGGGUACUCGAGUGGCGAACGGGUGAGUAACACGUGAGUAACCUGCCCUUGACUUCGGGAUAACUUCAGGAAACUGGGGCUAAUACCGGAUAGGAAUCCUUGCUGCAUGGUGGGGGUUGGAAAGCUUCGGCGGUUUUGGAUGGACUCGCGGCUUAUCAGCUUGUUGGUGGGGUAGUGGCUUACCAAGGCUUUGACGGGUAGCCGGCCUGAGAGGGUGUACGGCCACAUUGGGACUGAGAUACGGCCCAG